UUGAUUCGUCAUCAGCAUUAUCAGAGGUAAAGCAAAAGGGAGUAUUAACAGAUGUUCAGCAAAAUGGAGGAGAUGAGGUGCAUUUUUUUUAAGAGAAAUGUUGGAAACAACCUACUGAAGAAAGGCUAAGACUCCUACAUCAGAUUACCAAUGCACUUUGUCAUAAAUAUUUCAGAAUGCCUAUGAGAAAAAGAAUAAAGCUAAAUCAAGUCCAGAAU
Molecule: long non-coding RNA, 218 nt
Organism: Homo sapiens (human)
Lineage: Eukaryota; Metazoa; Chordata; Mammalia; Primates; Hominidae
Exons: 3
Source: RefSeq, a predicted model, not a curated record